Oncorhynchus gorbuscha (pink salmon) is the source of this 1675-nucleotide long non-coding RNA. RefSeq lists it as uncharacterized. The transcript is spliced from 3 exons. The record is from RefSeq and is a predicted model, not a curated record. Lineage: Eukaryota; Metazoa; Chordata; Actinopteri; Salmoniformes; Salmonidae.
UAACAAUUAACAUCUGCAUACAAAAAGAAGCGGAGACAGCUAUGCAGCCAAACAGCGAAAAGAUGCAAAAUAAAUCCCAAGCACAACCUGUCCGGGUGAAAUACACUGACGUUUAGAGGUCUCCCGUAGUAACUUGCCCACAGAGCUGGCGUAGCGGAAGGGACUCGGAAUGCUGUUGUCCAUCUGUGGUUGGAAACGGGACUGGACGACGCAUUAUUGAGGCGGCGAGCCACUGAUAGAGCGUCUACAUGCUAAACAUGUGGAAAGUCAGGGAAAUGGUGGAUAAAGCCUAGCAAAUGAGAAACAGUACCACCGUGAAGUGGCUCGGGCGGUGAUGUUGUGUAAGGACAACGACCUCAUGCUCAACUCCUCAAAAACCACAGAGAUGGCAAUACAGGAGAAGAAAGAACCUCAAGGCCCCCGUCAUAAUCACUGACCAACCAAUAACCCUGACAGAUUCGUUCAAAUUCCUGGGUACUUACAUCAGUGGCUCACUGAAAUGGGACAUCAACUCCAACCACAUCAUCAAGAAGGCCCAGCAGAGACCGUGCUUUAUAAGACAACUGAAAAAGUACAAGGUUAAACAACAGCUGCUUUUUCAGUUUUGUGAGGCUGGGGUAUAUGUGUAUAUUAGUCAUGUAGGAGCUACCCCAUGCUGUACCGUAUACACACCACUGACCUUGGAUGCCUGGCAAUAAAAAGUAUAUUGUAUUUCACUUUUGUUUUUAAAGUAUUUCUUUUUUUAGCAGUUCAAUGUUCAACUCAAUUAUAAAUGGUUAUAGGUCUGUCACUUUUUAAAAUAAGGUGUUUUUGAAUUUAUUAAUGUUUAUAGGUAUCAAAUAAUUAUUUAGUUAUUUGUCACAUGCACCGAAUACAACCGGUGUAGAUCACAACUUAUACUUAUCUGUACAACAUAAAAUGGGUCAAUUUGGUUUGAUUUGAUUAUGUAUACCUGGGCCAAUGGGCAUUCAGGAGAAUGGACGUUUACAUGUUCAGAUAGAAAUGUAUUGUGUAGAUCAAAUGUGACCGUCAGAUUUGAAUACUAUUGGAGAUUGUGUGUUCUAUUCAUUCUAUUUCUGUCUUCAACAUGCAGUUCCAGAUACAGCCCUCCAUUAGGCCUAGUUGAAGGCAGCCAAUCUAAUAGUUUCAGAAAAGUAGUCACUUCCUGAGAUCUGUAUUCAAAUAUAUUUUUUAAAGUUGGCAUUUUUAUAUUCAAAUAGUUGUAGUCCCCUCCAAAGUAACUAUUCCCCCAGAAAUAUUUACUUUCCCCAAAGCGUAGUUAAAACUAUAGUUAUCUCAGAUCAGCACUGAAUGUAUAGUUUCUUUCUCUGUUUUAUGUUAAUCUAUCCACCAUGAAACACACAUGCUUCAUAGUAUUAAAGAAGUAUCCUGUUUGGAACAAACCUGUUUGAGUUGUUGCCAUUUGUUGAUCCUUGUGUAGGCUAUGUGUGAUCAAUUGGCUGUUUUCCUCAGAUUUGAUAUCAUUGGCUCAUUCAUCAGUCUCUGGUCCUGUCUUAUUUCCCCAGCUCUGUUCCAUUGUCCUUCCAUCUGGCCCUCUGUCACUGAGCACUUGACCCUUGAACUCCUAAGGAUCUGACCACCUGUCUGUGGUGAUGCCCAGGCUAAACCCAGCUGCCAUCUGUGAACUAAUCAGACCAGUGGUCACACAGGGUCA